CCCCCGCACGUGCAGACCCGGGCGGGCUCCUCCCGCGUCCCGGCCGCGGUGCCUCCCGGAGCACAUCCCCUCCUGGUCACCCCCAAGAUCCAUAGGGACGCCGCCGACGACUUUUAAAUAAGCGAAAGAAAUGCAUCCCUCCACUUUUUCCGGGAAGCCUUUCCUUAAAUUUAGCUGGUAAAGGCAGUUGCGAAUUUUUGUCUUUUUAUAAGCACAAUAUGCGAUUUUUCCUUUGAAAAGAAGCCUCACUCAGAAUGUCUACUUUGGAAUGAACAGGGCGCUUUUAGAAUGUUUCGAGGAAGAAAGGAGAACUCACGUGAUCCAUGAGCGUCCUUAUGCCUGUUUCCAGCUACUUUGCUAAAAUAUCUGCUUGUGGGCCCUGCUAGAUCGUUUUCGAAAGAAAAUGGGCAUCCCCCACCUUACCGCCCCCACCUAGGCCUCCCGGUGACACUGCUGUGGCUUAAAACCCUGUGCCCUGCGUCUGUAUGGGUCUGUAUGGUGGGUUUCUUUGCAAGACUUAACCCCGUGGAGCCAGCACUGUCCUGCGAAGCCUUCUUGUCUGCAAAUCGUGUCCUAUUAAGUCAACAGAACUUAGAUGCCAGAAAAGCCCAACGGAGGGGGAAAAAAAGAAAAUUACCUUUAUGGAGGAACAGAAAUGACCGGGGUGCUUAUAAAACCAUGAUCCAUACCAUUAUUCAAUGGCCCCUGUUAAGAAGACUCGAGACAUUUCAGACCUAUGAGGAAAAGCUUUCUUUCUUCCAAGGAACUGGGACGCCUGGGUGGCUCAGCGGUUGAGCACCUGCCUUCAGCCCAGGGCGUCAUCCUGGA
Molecule: long non-coding RNA, 828 nt
Organism: Canis lupus familiaris (dog)
Lineage: Eukaryota; Metazoa; Chordata; Mammalia; Carnivora; Canidae
Exons: 3
Source: RefSeq, a predicted model, not a curated record